RNAcentral lists this ribosomal RNA (459 nucleotides) under uncultured bacterium. RNAcentral's name for it is "partial 16S ribosomal RNA". It matches the Rfam family "Bacterial small subunit ribosomal RNA", at positions 338 to 795 of the family's 1533-position model. The record is from RNAcentral.
CCUACGGGAGGCAGCAGUGAGGAAUAUUGGUCAAUGGGCGCGAGCCUGAACCAGCCAAGUAGCGUGAAGGAUGACUGCCCUACGGGUUGUAAACUUCUUUUAUAAAGGAAUAAAGUGAGGCACGUGUGCCUCUUUGUAUGUACUUUAUGAAUAAGGAUCGGCAAACUCCGUGCCAGCAGCCGCGGUAAUACGGAGGAUCCGAGCGUUAUCGGGAUUUAUUGGGUUUAAAGGGUGCGUAGGCGGAAGGUUAAGUCAGUGGUCAAAUGUCGGUGCUCAACACCGGCCUGCCGUUGAAACUGGUCGUCUUGAGUGAGCGAGAAGUAUGCGGAAUGCGUGGUGUAGCGGUGAAAUGCAUAGAUAUCACGCAGAACUCCGAUUGCGAAGGCAGCAUACCGGCGCUCAACUGACGCUGAGGCACGAAAGCGUGGGGAUCGAACAGGAUUAGAUACCCGAGUAGUC